Molecule: long non-coding RNA, 559 nt
Filed under: Nicotiana benthamiana
Lineage: Eukaryota; Viridiplantae; Streptophyta; Magnoliopsida; Solanales; Solanaceae
Description: long non-coding RNA (NBEN_LNC004785)
Source: RNAcentral
GAAGGACAUAUUUAGAUUGUUGCGACUGUAGUAAAUCUUAUGGUCAUAUUUGGGGUGAAAGAGAUGCUCGAAGAAGGUUGACAAAAUUAGAAGUAAAUUUCACUGCAAAAAAUGUGAUCGUCUUGAAGAUUUUAGUUUAUGAUGAUGAUGGCCAAAUAAUGAAUGAAGCUAGAAAUGUGGUGUAUAAAGAAGUUUCCCAUAAUUUGGUUUGAGAUGGAUCUAGACAUGAUCGAAUUAUCAGGUAUUUACAAUAUCUUUUUCUAAUUUUUAUAAUUGCUUUAGCUUUUGAGUAAAUAUUACUGUUUGCACAAUUUGGUAUUAGAAAAGGAUUGAUUUAUGAAAUAACCCUUUGGCUUCGUCUGUGUCUUCAGUUAGGGUAGGCUGAUGUUUUGUUAUUUUUCUUUUAUUGCAGAUGAAGUUGUAUUUUCAUACAACAAUGCUUAUUUCAUGGCCUAUUUAGUAAUGGUGUUACUGGGUUGUUGUUGUUGUUGUUUCAAGUUUGAACACCAAGAAUUCCUAACUUAGCGAAUGACCAAGGACCAAAGAAAGUUAAACUGAC